Molecule: ribosomal RNA, 468 nt
Filed under: uncultured bacterium
Lineage: Bacteria
Description: partial 16S ribosomal RNA
Rfam family: Bacterial small subunit ribosomal RNA
Source: RNAcentral
GACGAACGCUGGCGGCGUGCUUAACACAUGCAAGUCGAACGGAAAGGCCCUGCUUUUGUGGGGUGCUCGAGUGGCGAACGGGUGAGUAACACGUGAGUAACCUGCCCUUGACUUUGGGAUAACUUCAGGAAACUGGGGCUAAUACCGGAUAGGAGCUCCUGCUGCAUGGUGGGGGUUGGAUAGUUUCGGCGGUUGGGGAUGGACUCGCGGCUUAUCAGCUUGUUGGUGGGGUAGUGGCUUACCAAGGCUUUGACGGGUAGCCGGCCUGAGAGGGUGACCGGCGAGAGUGGGACUGGGAUACGGCCCAGACUCCUACGGGAGGCAGCAGUGGGGAAUAUUGCACAAUGGGCGGAAGCCUGAUGCAGCAACGCCGCGUGCGGGAUGACGGCCUUCGGGUUGUAAACCGCUUUCGCCUGUGACGAAGCGUGAGUGACGGUAAUGGGUAAAGAAGCACCGGCUAACUACGUG